AUUGAACGCUGGCGGCAUGCCUAACACAUGCAAGUCGAACGGAGGGCUUCGGCCCUCAGUGGCGGACGGGUGAGUAACGCGUAGGGAUCUGCCCCGCAGUGGGGGACAACCUGGGGAAACUCAGGCUAAUACCGCAUACGCUCCAUGGAGGAAAGCGGGGGGACCUUCGGGCCUCGCGCUGCGGGAUGAACCUACGUCCGAUUAGCUAGUUGGUGGGGUAAGGGCCCACCAAGGCGACGAUCGGUAGCUGGUCUGAGAGGACGGCCAGCCACACUGGGACUGAGACACGGCCCAGACUCCUACGGGAGGCAGCAGUGGGGAAUAUUGGACAAUGGGCGCAAGCCUGAUCCAGCAAUGCCGCGUGGGUGAAGACGGCCUGCGGGUUGUAAAGCCCUUUAGGCGGGGAAGAACGGCCGGGCGCGAAUAGCGCGCGGCUCUGACGUUACCCGCAGAAUAAGCACCGGCUAACUCCGUGCCAGCAGCCGCGGUAAU
RNAcentral lists this ribosomal RNA (492 nucleotides) under uncultured bacterium. RNAcentral describes it as "bacterial SSU rRNA". It matches the Rfam family "Bacterial small subunit ribosomal RNA", at positions 28 to 524 of the family's 1533-position model. The record is from RNAcentral.